CCUACGGGUGGCAGCAGUGGGGAAUAUUGGGCAAUGGAGGCAACUCUGACCCAGCAACGCCGCGUGAAUGAUGAAGGUCUUCGGAUUGUAAAGUUCUGUGAUGAGGGAUGAACACAAUGACGGUACCCUAAUAGCAAGCCACGGCUAACUACGUGCCAGCCGCCGCGGGAAUACGUAGGGGGCACGCGUUAUCCGGAUUGACGGGGCGUAAAGGGAGCGUAGGUGGUUUUGUAAGUUGGCGGUGAAAUUCCGGGGCUCAACCGUGGAGCUACCGCUGAAAAGGUAAAACUAGAGUGCAGGAGAGGUAAGUGGAAUUCCUAGUGUAGCGGUGGAAUGCGUAGAGAUAAGGAGGAACACCAGGGGCGAAGGCGACUUACUGGACUGUAACUGACGCUGAGGCACGAAAGCGUGGGGAGCAAACAGGAUUAGAUACCCGAGUAGUC
Molecule: ribosomal RNA, 443 nt
Filed under: uncultured bacterium
Lineage: Bacteria
Description: partial 16S ribosomal RNA
Rfam family: Bacterial small subunit ribosomal RNA
Source: RNAcentral